GAUGAACGCUGGCGGCGUGCCUAAUACAUGCAAGUCGAGCGAACAGACGAGGAGCUUGCUCCUUUGACGUUAGCGGCGGACGGGUGAGUAACACGUAGGUAACCUACCUAUAAGACUGGGAUAACUUCGGGAAACCGGAGCUAAUACCGGAUAAUAUUUCGAACCGCAUGGUUCGAUAGUGAAAGAUGGCUUUGCUAUCACUUAUAGAUGGACCUGCGCCGUAUUAGCUAGUUGGUAAGGUAACGGCUUACCAAGGCAACGAUACGUAGCCGACCUGAGAGGGUGAGGGGCCACAGGGGAACGGGACACGGGACGAGACCCCGAGGGGAGGCGGAGGGGGGGAUCUUGCCGAAAGGGGGGAAGGCCGGAGGGAGCAACGGCGGGGGAGGGAGAAAGGUCUUCGGACCGAAAACCUGUGUUAUAGGGAAAAAACAAGGGUGUAGGAAGCGGGGCACGUCUGGCCGGUACCUAAUAAGAAAGCCCCGGCUAACGAGGUG
This 497-nucleotide ribosomal RNA is filed under the name uncultured bacterium. RNAcentral's name for it is "partial 16S ribosomal RNA". It matches the Rfam family "Bacterial small subunit ribosomal RNA", at positions 28 to 507 of the family's 1533-position model. The record is from RNAcentral.